RNAcentral lists this transfer RNA (75 nucleotides) under Cordylochernes scorpioides. RNAcentral describes it as "tRNA-Thr". It matches the Rfam family "tRNA". From Rfam's summary of the family: Transfer RNA (tRNA) molecules are approximately 80 nucleotides in length. The record is from RNAcentral. Lineage: Eukaryota; Metazoa; Arthropoda; Arachnida; Pseudoscorpiones; Chernetidae.
GUACAGGGUAGCCUAGUGGACAUGGCACCUGCCCGGUUAGCAGAAGGUUGUGGGUUCGAUUCCCGCCCCUGGACA